This 263-nucleotide long non-coding RNA is filed under the name Hordeum vulgare. RNAcentral describes it as "long non-coding RNA (HVUL_LNC015942)". The record is from RNAcentral. Lineage: Eukaryota; Viridiplantae; Streptophyta; Magnoliopsida; Poales; Poaceae.
CUCAUCCUGGCUCGAGGGCCUCAAUAGGGAUAGAAGCACAUCUUGUCAUUUCGCAAGAAUGGAUAUUGUUACAAGUACAUGUAAAGAGGAGAUGAGUAUAUGGAAUUGGCUUACACUCGCCACAAGCUAAAUCAUGAUCACCUCAAUUACAAUCAUACAUAUCAAUCAUCAUACACAAAAAGCAGGCUCUGUCUAUGGACGAAAUCAAAGAUAAAAGCAACAUGCAACCCUGCAAAUCCUAGGCUGCCACCCUGAAGCCCAUC